UACUCUCACACUCUAAUUUUGGAGAAGUGGACUUGGGUGUUGCUGCUUUGCGGUGGCUCAUCUUAAAUAUGCUAGUGCAACUCAUGGUUGGAUAUAGUACAGCGUGAUAAGUAUCUUUGCUGGCGCCUCAUGAAGAGGGUAUCUGAUUCGGAGCUCUGUGCUUCUAACAGUCCUGUCUGGGGCAAUCUCUGACA
RNAcentral lists this unclassified non-coding RNA (194 nucleotides) under uncultured Sebacina. RNAcentral's name for it is "sequence contains ITS2". Lineage: Eukaryota; Fungi; Basidiomycota; Agaricomycetes; Sebacinales; Sebacinaceae. The record is from RNAcentral.